GAGAGUUAAACAGUACGUGAAAUUGUUGAAAGGGAAACGAUUGAAGUCAGUCAUACCAACGGGAAAUCAACCUUUUGAGCUUGGUCUCGUGGGUUUUGAAGAGUUUCAAAGCCUUCGGAUUCGCGGGAUUGGGAUCUCUUGGCGUACUUUUUCGUACGGUUAGUCAACAUCGGUUUUGAAUGUCAUAAAAUGACUGGAGGAAUGUAGCUUCGAUCUCGUAUUGAAGUGUUAUAGCCUUUGGUAGAUGUGAUGUUUGAGACCGAGGAUUGCAACGGAUACCCUUCAGGGCUAUUCGUCUGAUCUCUGAUACGUUGCCUUGAUGUUGAAAGCUUGCUUAUGAUGUUAGGGUAUUACGGUCAAAAGGUUAGAACGAAUUACAUUCGUUAAGGAUGUUGACGUAAUGACUUUAAACGA
Molecule: ribosomal RNA, 414 nt
Filed under: uncultured Funneliformis
Lineage: Eukaryota; Fungi; Glomeromycota; Glomeromycetes; Glomerales; Glomeraceae
Description: partial 28S ribosomal RNA
Source: RNAcentral